RNAcentral lists this non-coding RNA (22 nucleotides) under Arabidopsis thaliana (thale cress). The record is from RNAcentral. Lineage: Eukaryota; Viridiplantae; Streptophyta; Magnoliopsida; Brassicales; Brassicaceae.
CAAGGACAGGCCUCAUGCUCCA